Daphnia carinata is the source of this 978-nucleotide long non-coding RNA. RefSeq lists it as uncharacterized. The record is from RefSeq and is a predicted model, not a curated record. Lineage: Eukaryota; Metazoa; Arthropoda; Branchiopoda; Diplostraca; Daphniidae. The transcript has 3 exons.
UAAAUCUAUCAAGAAACAAGAUGAAAUCAAAUCAAAUUGUAAAAGAAGUUGGCUGAACGCAUCGAAGAAUAGGAAAAGAGAAAGGAAUAACAACAGAAAACGAGAAAAGCCAACAUUAAGAAAAAGAAAACUGAAAAGAAAGAACAUAAACCGAAUGAACACCGCACACUUAACAGAGAAAAAGCUGGAAUUGUCUGAUAAGACAACGAAAAUCAAACUUUAACGGAAGUUAGAGGGAAUGAAGAAGAAAUUAAAAAGGAAAAGUAAGAAGAAGAGGGUCCUGAAUUGCCAAACAUGCUCGAGCCACCAAGGCAGCAUCUGUGUCAUCAACCUCUGGUCUUUCAGAGUUUGUUAAAACAGAAAUUCCUGAAGCAAGACUAGCAAGUACACUGCCAACACCGAUUUUUAACAGUGGAGGCUGCCUAGUUUCCGGCAAAUUUGACUUUGGAGAACUAUCUAAUUCCUCACCCAUUCUGAAUAAGACCACUUUAGAUCCAGAAGUGGCAACGAUUAAAAUGAAAGAAAAUAAAACUUAAACCAAAAAUGAAAAUCUUGGUAGGCCAAGCUGAAGUUGAAAAUGCAAGAAGUAUUGAAGAGAAACAGGCACGAAAUGGUGCUCUGCAAAUAGCUGAAGGUUUUCAGGUAAAAGACUAUGUGGAAUUGCUUGCCAAACCAAUUAAUGAACGAGAUCAAAUCAAAUCAGAGAGUAACAAAAAUUGCGCUGAACGAAUCGAAGAAAAGGAAAAGAGAAAGGAAUAACAACAGAAAAGGAGAAAAGCCAACAUUAAGAAAAAGAAAACUGAAAAGAAAGAACAUAAAGUGAAUAAACUAAAGAAAAAAGGCAAAUUUAUCGCAUGAAAGACUGAUACUGACUGAUGGAUCAGCUAAACUUGUGUUCUUUCAUGUGCAGCCAUGUCGUGAUAGUUUUUUAGAAAAAUACACUGAUAUGCCUUCCAUGAUCGUGGAAAAUUUGAAGAA